Molecule: ribosomal RNA, 468 nt
Filed under: uncultured bacterium
Lineage: Bacteria
Description: partial 16S ribosomal RNA
Rfam family: Bacterial small subunit ribosomal RNA (bases 48-468)
Source: RNAcentral
GGGGGGGGGGGGGGGGGGGGGGGGGGGGGGGGGGGGGGGGGGGGGGGGCCGGCGGGGGGGGGGGGCGCGGGGGGCGGGCGGGGGGGUGACACGGGGGGAGCCGGCCCUGGCCUUUGGGAUACCUUCGGGGAACGGGGGCUACUCCCGGCUAGGAGCGCCUGCUGCCUGGUGGGGGUGGGACAGGUUCGGCGGUUGGGGAUGGACUCGCGGCUUCUCCGCUUGUUGGUGGGGGAGUGGCUUACCAAGGCUUUGCCGGGUAGCCGGCCUGAGAGGGUGACCGGCCACAUGGGGACUGAGAUACGGCCCAGACUCCGACGGGAGGCAGCAGUGGGGAAUAUUGCACAAUGGGCGGAAGCCUGAUGCAGCAACGCCGCGUGCGGGAUGACGGCCUUCGGGUUGUAAACCGCUUUCGCCUGGGACGAAGCGUGAGUGACGGUAAUGGGUAAAGAAGCACCGGCUAACUACGUG